This is a long non-coding RNA of Salvia splendens (bonfire salvia), 659 nucleotides long. RefSeq lists it as uncharacterized. Lineage: Eukaryota; Viridiplantae; Streptophyta; Magnoliopsida; Lamiales; Lamiaceae. The record is from RefSeq and is a predicted model, not a curated record. The transcript is spliced from 2 exons.
GAUAAAUUCAAGAAAAGGAAGUCUUCUUCUCCCAACAUACAAUACUCUCAUUCGAUACAUACACAUACUCUAACCACCGAAAUCUCGGUCGUUCCCCCUAGCCGCCGCGGCACUUGCAUCCGUCGUGGGGUCUAACCGGCCAUCAUCACCAUCUUCCCCCUUGUCUCAUAUCUUCUUCGUCAUUUUUAGAUCAAAGAUUGAACACCCAAUUUCCCCUUCUUCAAUUCUUGUGGAAACAAGUAGAAACAAUCUCUCCCUUUCACGUUCUAAAACUCCUCUCCGGCAAAACUCGGCAUCGCCGCUGCCACCGUUCUCCGCCGACGCUGCUGUCUGCCGCCGUUCACUGAUGCAUCAAGCACCGCCACCGCGUAGCCGAGUAGCCGUGCCUGCUGCUGCUGAGUUCAGCCCGGUGCUGUCCGCCGCCGCCAUCGCCGCACAGCCCUCUGCUUUGAGCAACCGCUGUUGUUCACACACCGGAUUCCAGCUCCGCUGCUCCCUCGGUUCUCUAACCUUGACACCAUAUGGCUCCAGGCGAUUAUGUAUUGUUAAGUUGCAAAUUGAUUGCUAAGUAUCUCUGAAUAUUUCUUAUUAUAGACGGUUUUUCGGUUUAAGGUUUUUCGAUAUUUCGGUUUUUUAUAUAAUUUCGGUUUUUCGGUUUA